Molecule: long non-coding RNA, 416 nt
Organism: Lemur catta (Ring-tailed lemur)
Lineage: Eukaryota; Metazoa; Chordata; Mammalia; Primates; Lemuridae
Exons: 3
Source: RefSeq, a predicted model, not a curated record
AAUACCUGAAUUCAGAGGCCCUUCUGACCUGUGACCACACGGGGUGGCCAAGUCCUCUCUGUUGAAUCGGUUUGUCACCAACUACUUCAGCAGUCAGUAAGGGGCAACCAUUGGUGCUGACUUCUUUACCCAAGUGAUGCAGCCAAAGGCCAGACAGUAACUGUGCAGGUCUCUGAACUCUCCAGUCCCGCUCGGCCGGGAAGAAGACAGGCGGAGCCCUACUCUCAUUGGCUCACUGCUCCUUCCAGCCUGCCUCUGCUUCCUCCCCACAGCAAGUCUUUCCUGCCCGAACCCGGAACAACAGAGGGGGCUAAAAGCUUCUAGAACUGCCUGCUCAUGCUUCAGUCAAGCCAUUUUCCCCUGACACAAUGGAGAUAUUCUACAUCAAAAUUCAAAGAGCUUCAAAUAGAUCUGCC